UUUUUUUUUUUUUGUUCUUUUAAAUUGUUAUUGUUUUUUUCCCUUUAACCUUGUGUUCUACCAUUCAAUUCAAUGACUACACAUACUUUCCUAAAUUCUUAACACAAGUUUGAGAUGUGAACUCAAUAAAUAAAAAUUUAUUUUACAAUGCCCUACCUAUGACUAUAACAUUUAUUGUAGACAAAUUAAAAUGUUAUUAUUUUAUAUGAUCUACAAUAUAACUCUAUAUCAUGAGAUCCUGGAGCAUAUGAGUUUAACAUAUGGACGAUUGUCAUCAUAGAUCUAAAUAUAUGUUGAUAUAUGUUGUUCACCCAUCCACGCAUGCAUGGGUGUCAAGUAGUAGCAUUGUUCAUAAAAGUAUUAUAUAUUAUUUAUUAAGAUAAUGAAACUAGUUAAUCAUGUAUCAAAUAGACAUAAAUAAUACAACCUUUUCCUACACUAUAUUUAAACAACCACUUAUAUUUUUGUCUGACUUUACUUAAAUAAAUUUUAUUUUAAAAGUUAAUUACCAUUUUUUAAAAAUGCACAAAAGGUAAGUUUUUAGAUUUGAGUGUGUGUUUUAAAAAGGUCUCAUUCUUAUUUUUUGGUUGGCUUGCAUUUGACAGUAAUUCAAAAACUAGCUAGUUUAAUUAAUUUUUAUCAAUACCAAAUCUAUAUUUUUUCCCAAGAUUUAUCUUACGAUAACCAUCCCAUCUUGAAUUAUUAAUUUGUAGAUAUUAUUCUUAUUUAUUCACAAUUUUUAGUCCUUUUUCUGACAUUUUCAAAGAAAUGCUUUUUAAAUUCUUAAUUAAUAUAUCAGUUAAUUAUAACAACUGUCUCUUAUUUUCAUUUGUUUUCUCUUAAUAGAAUAUAAGUUUGGAGAUAUUCUCUAUCUACCUUCCUUUUGUAUUUUCUUUGGAAAUAAAAUAGUGCAUUGCUUUUGAUAUUGAAGUAUGCAUAUAUUUGUUAGGAAUAGGUCGACUGAGUUGAAAUAUGUUGAUGUGACUUACAUUUCCUCUACCUUUAAUAUAUUGUUUCAAAAAUAAAAUAAAUAAAAUAAAAUUACAUGAUACAUAUCUAACUAAGACAACUCGAGUCCUCUCAACUUUUAUGUGUAUAUAAAAUGUUGUUUGGUGUAAAAUUGAGUUAAGUUAGGUGGAUAAUAAUGGUGUGUAUUUGACCUACAUAGUUAGUUUAGUUGAUAACAAUUGUUUGUAUUCAACAUGUAAAAUUGAGUUCAAUUGAUUUUAAAAGUUUGUGUCUGCAGUACAAAAAGUUGGCUAUUUGAUACAUUCUUUCAAUCUGAAAAAACAUGUAUUUUUAUGAGAUUUUAUUGUUUUUUUCUUUCAACAUUUUAGUUAAAUUUUUAAGGGAGAAUACUUGAGAUGUGAACUCAAUAAAUAAAAAUUUAUAUUUUACAAUGUUCUAUCUACAACUAUUCCAUUAUGGUAGAGAAAAUAAAAUAUUAUUACUUAUAUAAUCUAUAACUCUACAUCAUGAUAAGUACGAAACAUAUGAGUUGAACGUUAAAAAAAAUAGAAUUGCCAUCAAAGAUCUAUUUACAUGUUCACACAGAUAUCCAUGUGCAUAUGAGCACACACACUAAUAUUGUUCAUAAAAAAUAUUGUUCAUUGAGAUAAUCAAACUAGUUAACCAUAUACUAAUUACACAUAAACCAUGCGCCUCUUUUCAUACUAUCAAUAAUGCUUUUGUUUAUUUGUUUUUAUUCGUGUUUGGACUUCUCUCUAGCUCUUUCUAUAUUUUUCUGCUUCUUGUAUCUAUUUUUAAUCAUUAAUGAAGUAGGAAUGAUAUAUGGUGCUAAAGAGGUGUUCCACCUACCAUAGAUGUUUAGGUGCACCUGUUGAUCCAAACCUAUUUUCUUUUUUUAAAAAACUUACAUUUGCAAACACCCAAUUAAUUAACUAAGUAAGACUAAUGAUUGAGAGAAGACUAAAUUUUAAAGGUUUGUCUUUCUGUACUACACCAGUUUUUUUUUUUGUUUUCUUUAUGUUAUUUAAUUUUUUUUUAAAAAGGUUAACUUUCAUAAAUAGUACUCGGAUAAAAUAUUUACAACCCGUAUCACAAAAUGAAGAAUUAAAGGCCACGAAAUUUACCAUUUUUUAAAAAAAUUUAAGGUUUGCUCUUUCAUAUCAUCUUUUUCUUCUAUUAUCUUCUACGAUUUUUUUUUCUUUUCCUCUUUUGCGAUAUUUUUUCUUUUCCUCUUUUGCGAUUUUUUCUUCCCAUCAUCUUUUUCUCUUCUUCAAUUUAUUAAAAAUAUUUUCAUUUGUUCUUCGCUUUCAUAUUCUUUUCUAUGCAAUUCUUCUUUUUCUUUCCAUUGUUUUUUCUCCUCUUUAAUUUUUUCUCUUUUCCUUCCCAUCAUCUUUUCUUUCUAUGAUAAAUUUUUAUAUUAUUUUCAAAUUGUUAUUUGCUUCAAGAUCUUGCUAUUUUUUUCAAACUGUUAUUUGAUUUUUUAAGAUCGUGUGCCAAAUAUAAAAGAUCGUGAAAAAAAAAUCGUGGAAAUUUGGCUACCAUAAUUUAAACUAUCAAUUCUAAACGAUUUUGUGUCAAAUGUAAACAAUCGCGUACCAAUUUUUUUUGUUGAAAAAAUUCAUUUAGAUUGGACUACGCAUAUUUAAACGAUUAAAGUAAAUGAUAGUGUGAGAAAUCUAAACGAUCACAUACCAAAAAAUCUUGAAAAAAAUUGUUUAGAUCUGGGUGUUUAGAUUUGAUUAUCCAAAUCUAAAUGAUCAUUUUCCAAAUAUAUUACGUCCAUUGGACGUCAAUUCAUCAAAGAGCAUUUUUGGUAUUUUCCAUUAUGGGCCUGUGGGUUUUUUUCGUUUUCGAAAUUGUUAUAUACAAUAUAAAUAUUUUAUUGCUUUGUUCAAUAUUUAAAAAGACAAAAAAAAAAAAAAAAAAAAACAAAGAAACAAAAAAACAAAAAACAAAAACAAAUUGUUCAUUUAAGAAAUUAUUAUAAACAAUACAAGCGUUAUAGGUACUGUUAAACUUCUAUUAAUAUCUAUCAGUGAUUUAGAUAGACAUGAAUAUAAGUCUCGAUCAGUAUUUAUCUAUAAUAUAUAAUUUUGCUAUAUAUCGUAAAUAUUUUGGUUCAUUUUGCUAUAUUUGAAAAUACGUCCGUUCUUUAACGAUAUAUAUAUAUAUAAAUUCUAACACAUUCUAAUAGAUCUAUUGGUGUGAGAUUUUUUUUACGAGUUACUGUUUUAGUAUGUUUUAGUAUGUUUAAAGGAGAAUAUUUUUUCUGAAACUUCGUGAGAUUUUAUGUUUAAUCAAAGUUUAAAAUAUCGAAGGAGCAUUUUUAAAAUUAGCAAAAUAAAUUAAAAUAUUUAGCAAAAUUUUGUAUUCUAUCAAUGACAGAAACGGAUAAACUUCUAUCACUGUAUUUCAAUGCCACUUAUAGAAACAUAUCAGUGUCUAUCACUGACUUUUUAGAUUUGAAGCAUUUUUCCAUCACGAUCAUGUGGAUAUGAUCUAAGCGAUCACUUACCAUAGUCUACACGAUCAUUUAGUAUGGUCAACACAAUCGUUAGAUUUGAAAUAUUUUUUCUAUCGUUAAAAAGAAUUACACUAUCGUGUUGAUAAUACCUACAUAAUUGUGUAUACCUAUAAGAUCGUAUAUCAUAUCCUUUAGAAGAAAAAUUACACCCGCGCUUGUGGCCGAUUAAUCGCGUGUUGACUUAAUCAUUUUUUUUUGUAUUUUCCAAUAUUGUAGGCUUGUGGGUUUUUUCUGUUUUCAAAAUUGUUCUAUAUAAUGUAAAUAAUUUGCCGGUUUGUUAUAUUUUUUAAAAAACCCUAAUUUUAACAAUUUUCGAAAGUUUAAGAAUAUUUUUUAAACUUUUGAAAGUUUAGGGAUAUUUUUGACAACGUAGGUAUUUUUUUUAUUUUUGUAAUUUAGCUUUUAUUUUUUAUAUACCUUUUAAAAUCAAUUUAUAGACUUUGACUCGGCGUUAUCAUUUCUUAAUUAACUCAAAUUGAUCCAAAUAAAAUAAAUUAUUAUUAUUUUAAUAGACUCAUAACCCAAGUUUCAUUUGUUAAUAGUUGAGUUUUACAUUGUCCAAUUAAUUAAAAGCAUAGGAAGGAGGGGUUUUAUUAGUAUUAUUAUUUUUUCUAUUUUCUAUUGUCCAAAUAUGUUUUUUGAAAGGAAGGGGUAGUUGGAAUAUGAAUAAAUGGGAGUAGUAUAAAUACCAAACUUUCAAAACAUAUAUAUUGUACUAAAAGCAUUCCAUAUAGCAAUAAGUUUAUCAAUAUUACAAGUAAGUAAACAAUAUCUAAAAUGGCUUCUGAUCUCGUGCCCGGCGGCUAUACUCCAGUUGAGAAUCCUCAAAGUUCACGCAUGAAAGAAUUAGCAGAAUGGGCAGUAGCAGAGCACAACAAAAAGCGGGGACACACUUGAUGUUCAUUGGUAUAUUGACUUGUGAGUCACAAAUUGUGGAUGGAGUCAAUUACCGCUUUACCUUGACGGCUAAGGAUGAAAAAGAUAAUUGUGAGAUUGAAAGCUAUAUGGCUGUUGUCUUUGAGCAACCAUGGGAGCAUAUCAAGGAGCUCGUUUACUUUCAGAAACUCUUAUUGGCUGAACAAUGAAUAUAUAACAAAAUUACUCCUACUUUUAAUUAACCUGCUUUAAUGCGUUAUCAUACGUAUGUGUGGCGUACUCCCUUUAUGGUCCAUCUAUAGAAGGGAUAGCAAAAUAAAAGCUCUCCUAGUUAAUUGCACUUCCAGAAGUGUAGGUGCAAUGUUGUUGGGUUAGUUAAGUUGGUAAUUGUUAUUGUUUGUAUCCAUGGUGGAGUGAAGAGUGAUGUUGAGUGUUGGUAAUAAUAAUUGUUUGUGUUUGGAGUGUAGAGUUGAGUUGGUUUGAUUUUAUAAGAAGUUUGUGUGUGGUGUAUGAAUAUUUGAUGCAUUUCUAACUUCUUGUGAUCUAAAAAUAAACAUGCACUUCUAUGGGUUUCUUAGUAAUUAUUUUAUAUUAUAUUAUUGCUAUUGCAUGCUAUUGUUUCCCCCCUUUAACUCUUUUAAUUUACCCUUAAACUAGAUUUUAUUCUACCAUAUUAAACUAGACACUCUCCUAAAUUUCUUAACACACACAUUAUGCGAUGGAAACUCAAUAAAUAAAAAUAUAUUUUGCAAUUAAUUUCUACAUGUAACUAUUGCAUUAUUAAUGUAGGUUAAAUAAUAUUAUAUACAUAAUUCGGAUCUGUUUGCACUACUAAUGCUUAGUUAUGCAAAGAAGAAGUCAAAUAUCAAAUAUCACUACUUUAUUCGGAUCUGUUUGUGCUACUAAUGCUGAGAUUAAAAUAGUUUUUCUUGAUCAUUUUGAAGAUAUAUACAGAGACAUAAAUAUUCCUCUUUGAUAAUUUGCUUUGGACUCCUAUCUUAACAAAAGAAUAGAUGGAUAUUUGCAAACAGUUUCAUGAAUCGAAAAUUUACAACGCUCUUCAAUCUUUCUUUAACAAUAAGAGUCCAGGUACUGAUGGUUUCAUUAUGAAAUUAUUUAAAGAAGCUUAGCUUGGAGAUUCCUCAAAGGUGAUAUUAUUGAUAUUUUCAGUGACUUACGCAAAAAUGGAAUCAUAAACAAGGUUGUGAAUGCUCUACAUACAUCACUCUUAUAGAAAAGAAGGAAAAAUGGUCCCUUGCAACUGAUUAUAGGCCUAUUAGCCUAACUACGUCUCUCUAUAAGAUAAUGCCCAAGAUUCUUGUCGAAAGACUUACAAUAUCUCUCCCAAAUACCAUUCCUGAAAACCACGUAGCAUUUGUUAAAGGAAGACAAAUAACAUAUGCUAUUUUGAUUGCGAAUGAAGCGAUUGGUUUCUGGAAAUCGAAAAAGGAAAAAGGGUUUUGUCAUUAAAUUUGAUAUUUUUUUAAGAAGAAGAUACGUUGGGUCAGUAUUAGGUGCAUCCCGACAUCUCUAUUAGGUCGACACUCCUUAGCACUCUCGUCAUUUCCGCUUCAGUCAUUAAAUUUGAUAUUGAAAAGGCAUUUGAUAAAAUUAACUGUAAGUUUAUUGAGUUCAUGUUGUUGAAAGGGGCUUUCCCCAUAGAUGGAGAACUUGGAUUUACUCAUGUAUCAACUCCGUACAAUAUCCUGUCAUUAUAAAUGGGAAGCCUAGAGGGAAGUUCCAACCAACCUGAGAUAUUAGAAAAGGAGAUCUGAUCUCUCAAUUUAUAUUUGUUCUUGCUAUGGAUUACCGCAGUAGGCUACUUAAGAUCUUGGAGACGAACAACAAAGUUAGAGGGGUUAGAUUUAAUGAAAAUUAGAAUUCACUCAUCUUUUAUUUGCCGAUGAUAUUCUCCUCUUCAUGGAAGACCAUGACGAUUUUGUAGAAAAUAUGAAAUAUGCGAUUCACCUCUUUGAACUUGCUUCUGGGCUUAACAUAAAUCUCAACAAAUCACCAGUUCUUAGAUUAAUGUGGACUCAAGCAGAUUGAAUAGGGUGGCAGAGAUAUGGGGAAUUACUGUGUAGUUUUUACCCAUCAAUUACUUGGGUGUUCCUUUGGGUGGCAAACCUCUGACAAAGCAUUUUUGGGCUAACAUCACAGAAAAAAUCUACAGAAAAACUAGUAAUCGGAAAUAUUCAUAUCUUUCCAAGGGAGACAAAAACACAUUGAUUAAUUUCACUCUUGUUAGUCAACCCACUUACCAACUUUCGGUAUUCAAGGCCCUUUAAUUUCCUCUAUAUGCAAAGAUAUUGACAAGAUUUGGAGGGAUUUUGUGUGAAGAAACUCCAAUGACAAACGUAAUAUUCAUCUCAUCAGAUGGUCAAUUAUCACAUCCCAAAAGAAAAAGGGGUCUUGGGAUAAGCCAUAUAAAGGACACAAACUUUUUGCUCUUCUUCGUAAAUGGCUAUGAAAAAAUUUAGAAAAAAACAACUCUUGACACCUUUUUUUUAGUAUUGCGAAUAUGAAAAAUAUGGGAAAGACUAUCAAAUGGUUAUCGACUAUGAUAAAGUAGCAAAUUUAAAAAAAGUAGUAACAUGAACUUUAUUAUCAUAAUUUUUUUUUUGAUAUUUUUGUAAAAGUCUCUUUAAAUUAUACCUUAUUCCAUCUUUAUCUAUCACAAAAGAAAAGAAUAUAUAUUUUAAAAGUCGGACAAUUGAAAUUGGCCACAUGACCAACUGUUCAUUUAAUUUAAAGGUAAUUGUAAUGGAUGAGCAUUUGAGGAAUAAUAAUUAAGGAUAUAACAACAUUUAAAAAAUUGCAAAUAUACCAAAACUAUCGCUGAUAGACUUGUAUCUAGACUCGUAUGAUCUAUCGCUGAUAAACCAAUUUUUACAACAUGGUCUAUCAGUGAUAGACUAUAUCAUUGAUAGAAUUUGACAAAUUUUACCAUAUUUGCAAAUUUUUAAAAAUGUUGCUAUAUAUUUAAUUAUUUUAAAUUUAAUUACUAAAUUUGCAACUACCCCUAUAUUUAAAAAGAAAUGAAUCCAAUACUCAAAUUAAAUUAAAACUUUUCUUAAAUGAAAGCAUAUGGUUUAUUAAACUUUUCCUAAAAUGAUAGUGCCUUUUAAGUUGGAUCCUAAUUAUUUUUUAUUGGAUCAAAUAAUUGCUAUAUUUUCAUGAAUUUUGAUGUCAUAUUAGAUGACCUAAAAUUUUAUCUUUUAGUAAGUUUAAUAUCUUCCGAUUUUUUCAAGGUAAGAUUUUCAAUAGAGUUCAUAUUAGCAAAAAAAAAAACUUUAAAAACAUGUGCGACCAAACUCAUACUAACGUGAAUUGGAUUGCAAAUAUGAUAAUUAAGUAAACAACAACUUAAAAAAUUUGCAAAUAUAAUAAAAUCUGUUUAAGUCUAUCAACUGACAAUGAUAGAAGUUUAUCAUUGAUAGACUAUUUGCAAAUACUGUUCUAUCAAAAACUAUAAAGAUUAUCAAAUACUAUACCUUAAUCCAAAAAUGUUAGAUGGAACUCGGGGGUUCACAAUGGGGCGUGGGCGAUCUCCAUUAUCCUACCAAAGCAUAUAAUGAGAAUUUCAUCAAGUGGUCUGUAGAAAUUUAACUUUCUAUAUUUUCACUCUUUUAUAUUUGAUAUUUUUAUAUCGUUUAGUUCGUAUUCAUACCUGAAAUAUAUUUUCAGAAUAAUCGUAAAGAUCAGAUUAAUGGUAAAGAGGAUCCUCGAGGAGUUAAAAUAAUUAACGAGUUUCAAAACUCAUGAAUUUUCAAAAGAAUGGGGUAAGAGGAUGUUACAAGGUAUUGGAUGCUCCAAUCCUUUAACUAAUAGGUUUGAUUUCUAGUUUGAAGAUCAUACUCACACAACCAUUGGAUAGUUGGAUAUUAGAUGUGUUGUCUAGAUGUAGUUUCGUGUAAUGAGCCACGAAUUUAGAAAUUUUGUUAAUGGAAGCGUUAAUAUAAUCUAGUAAAAGUAAUCUAAAAAAAAAUGUGAAGAGUGGAGAAGAACUUAAAUUUGGAUCUAAAAGAAAUUGAUAAACCAAUUUACAUAGUCAAGAUAACUAAUGAUAUAAGAUAUAAUGUGAGUUUGAUAUAUAUGUAAUGUAGAUAUAAAGUUGAGGGAGACGAGUCCUCUUGGCCUACUCUAAAUGUUUUAGUGUGUAUAAUCGACUAUAUUAUAUUAAAAAAAAAGAUAAACAUAGAGCGACAUGAUCGCUUUGGAGAUAGCUUCGAAUAAUCUAUUUACUUUGGAAUCAUGCUUCUACUAUUGAUAGCUUCGACAUGUUGGCCAACUUUGGCAACAAAUAAAGUCAUACAUUAUCAUUAAAAAAUAAUUGAUAACACAUGUAUGCAUAGUAUUAUAAUUAAACUAUGUUUACUCGUAGUAAAGUAAAUUAAAAUACUUACAAGCUAUAACAAAAUUUUGGAUUUUAUCAUCUUCUAUCACUAUAACUAUCAAUGAUAAAAUUUUCUAUAGGUUGUAAAUAUUUUGUAAAAUCCUUAUGACUUGAUAAUAUACGUAUUCAUAAACAAUUAAAUUGUCUAUACAACAGAGACUAUGCAAUUAUUAAUGCAACGGGAAUGAUGAUAGUGUUACGAAAGUGUCCACUUAGUGGAGAUGUCCUGCCUCCUAAUCCAUUUGGUAUGUUUUUAAAAAAUAAUAGCUAAACCAAUCAUAUAUGAGGUUAUUUUAUCAAACCUUAAAGAAUUAAAUUCUAACGUUUAAAGUCAAUAGGACUAAAAUUCCAAUACUAAAUUAUAGGAAUCAAUAUUUCGUCAUAAGACCAAAAUAUUACAUGAAUUAGCAUAUUAUGGAUAUUCGACCUUAUCAAAUUUCACAGUAGGAAAACACCUACACAUUUGUAUAUGAUACUUAAACCCUCCUUACAAUUGAGAACAUACCACCGACAAAUACAAAAUUUCUUCAUCAAAUCUUUACUCAGAAGAUCAUUUGUUGAUCUUCGAUUUGUACUUCAAGUAGUUUACUGAGGAGAAUCCAAAGUUAUGGCUAAUUUUGAUGACUCUAUAGUACUUGAGGGUGAGUCGAGUUCGGAUGUCUUCGGAAACUGGAAGCCAAUUUCAAGGACUGAUACACACGUGAAAAAGAUAGCAGAAUUUGGUGUGAAAGAGCAUGAACAAACCAUGAUCUUCAAUCAAGUGGAAGCUGGCCUGGUCGGUAACAGAAUGCUUAUGGAUAACGAGAAAUAUUAUAUCCUUGUUAUUCUCGCCCAAAACUCCCUCUCGGAAUGCAAAGGUUUUAUAGCAUCAUCGUAUUGGAAACUACUGCAUCCAAAAAGCUUAUAAACUUUGUUCCCCUUCCUAGUGGUGCAUGCAAUAACUAUAUAUUGACACUCUCUGUGUCAUUGAUAUCCGCUCUAAUAUAUGUUUUACAUGAACUUAAAAACUAUUACCAAUAGUUUGUGAGGUAAUAAAAGUACGUAAAAUUAUUAAACUCACAUGUAUGCUUGGUUGUGUGUUAACUAACUUUGUUUUAUUUUAUCUAGUUGACGACAUACGUACAUAUAUAUCACACAAGCAUAUACAUAAUACAUAUAUAUGCACGUUUGAUUUUCUUGUAAUGUGCUCUAAAUUCAAGUGAUUUGUGACAUUUAACUCCAAACAUUCACUAUACCUAAUUCUUUGUGAAUUAAAAAAUAUUAACAGUUUCUUCAAAUUUUUUAAAAAUAAUUCAUAGGAUCCGUCCAUCUCAACCAGAUUUACUCCUAUUUAACACCUUUGUUACGCCUCAAUAUCAAAGUCUUUGUUUUACGGAACUAUCAAUAAAAUGUAAAUUUUGGUAUAUAAAUAUAACAUUGGUCCCAUCUUUUUUCUUUCAAUCUAAGAAUGAAUCUCUUUGUAGAACUCGGGGAUUUUUUUUUUUCCAGAAUAAAUCCAUUUGAAUGUUUUCUUCAACAGAUCAAAAUUAAGAUACAUUGGCGGUUGACUGUAACCAACUAAAGAUACCAAGAUUGAUAUCACCGGUGUCUAAACAACUCCCCGUUCCCGGCUUCUCCUCCACUCCAUCUCCUCCCGCGGCUGCAACACUUCUCUCCUCUAAACCCUUGGCAAGUUGGCAACUACCUCCUCAUCUCCGGCGGCUUUCCGUCUUUUCACUGCCCACAACCCAUUUCAGAAUUCCUUCCACCACCAUCCUCUUUCUCUCCUCAUUUAACACCGAAAGUUUAAUAUUUCCUCCAUAUUUGAGAAAGUAAUCAAUAAGCUCAAAUCUGUUGGAAAACUUUGAGACAACUUAUGAAUACACAAGCAAAAAUUCAGCAGACGAAAAAACUUCACAAUUUUUUCAUAACAGAAUAAUCAAUUAAAAUACCUUAUUAAAGGCUUAAAAAAAUACUUACUAAAAAUAAUAACCACCUUGAUAAACCACCUACCCACAAACUUAACCUAUUAACAUAAAUAAUUAAAACAUUAAGUUAAGAUAAUUACGUUAUUUGAAUCAGUCUUCAAUACUCUCUCUUGAUUUAAAUUUGCUAAUACGCAUCAUAGCUAAAGUAACAGAAGUUUUGAGUUUUUGACUUCUUAGUGAAAUUCUUGAAUCGUCCGACCACCCUGUGGGAAUAUAUAGGUCCGACUAUCCUAACUAGGGAAGCGAGAAGAUGAAAGCAGAGAGAGAUUGUUCCAGCAUGGAUUCUUUGCCAACAGUUCCCUUGAGCUAGCCGCCUAAGAGCCCACGGAGCGGGGAGGACUGACUGGUUACAUAUGUUUUCCCAUAAUCCUGCAUUGCUGACAUGUUUAACGUUGAAAUUUUGGUUAUUUCUUUCCAACCAAAUUAUCCAAAAGGAGAGCAACCACAACCUUUGCAACUUACCACUCUCACCACACUUCGUACUUCAACUGCAAACCUUUGCAACUUCUUCCACAAAUUCAUCAUCCACAUCUUUAAUCGCUAUUCCUUUUCCUUCAUUUGAUGAAUUAAUAUUGUAAUUAUAUAUAUAUACACACUACUUUUAUUUAAGUCGCUGACUUAUUUUGCUUGUUAUUAUUAAGGAGUUUCUUAUUUAUAAUUCCGUGUGAGAGAUAUUAGUCGAAUUGAUAUAAUGGAAUCUUGUGUGUGAGACCUAGAUUUAGAGUUCAAAUGACGAUUUGCUGUUGAUACAUAUAUCAUUUCUAAUAAAAAAAAAUACUUUAAUAGAAUAGUUUAAAAAGAUACUUUUGAUUCAUUGUUGAAAUUUCUAGAGCACCUGCUGAUCCAAAUUGUAUUUUUUAAGGAGGACACUCUUGAUGUACUUCAUUUCUUAUUUUUUUAAUAAAGCGAAAAUGACGAGGGGAUUAAAAAGACAAUUGAAAAAGAAAAAAGACAAAAUGGGGGUGUUAGGAGGGCCAACACACAAAUUUUGUAACUUGUAUUGAAUACUGAUUCAAAUUAUGUGAUUAUCUAAAUUAAUGUUUUUUAAUUUAUUUUCUGUUAACAGGUUAAGUUAGUGGAUAGGUGGUAUGUCAAAGUGGUUUUAUUUUUAGUAAAUACCAGUUUUUUGUAAGGCUUUUAAUAAGGCAUUUCAAUUGAUCAUUGUGUUAUGAAAAUACAGAAGUUUAUGUUUUUUGGCUUCUGUAUUCAAGGCAAGGCUUAGGCCAAUGAAACCAUGUACAUAUGAUAAAAACGAAGAAAUUAGAAGGAAAAAAAAAUACACAUGUACAUAAUUAAAGAAAAACCUAGAAGCUUAAGGAAGGAAAAGAAAAAAUAAAAAAGGGAUAGAGGUUUGUUGCUGUUGGUUAUUUUCUUUCUUUGAAGGAAAGAGAAGGAAGAUAGUGGAGGGAGAUGAAAAUUUAGAGAAAAUGUCUUUUUUUUUCCUUUGGAUCUUUUAGUUUCACGUGAAGAGAGAUUAGGGUGUACUAAACAUCUCAACUAGUAUCAAAAGAUUUUUAUCAUAUGAAAAAAAAAGGAAGCUUUUGAGAGAGAGAGAAACGUGAAAAAGGAGGAGAAUCCUUAAAUCGAUGGAAAAUACCUAGAAGUUGUGCAUUAAUUUAUUCACUUUGGCCUUGUUUCAUUUUUGAAAUGAAUGAGGUCAAAGAUAUGCCUCGCUAUAUGUUGCUCUCCCUUAAUUCCUAAUGAAGCACUAAGACCGACAAACAAGUUACGAUUAUAUAACAAAUUAUAAUUUCUGAAAUGCACCAUGUAUACUUGACUGCAAAAUUUGAUAAAAAAGAAAAACUAGAAAGAGAGAUAAUAGGUAAGUAUCAUUGUUCUUAUUAUAUGGUUAUACCAUUUAUUUUCAUAUAGGCAAAAGACAAUAAUGCCUCUCACACACACACACAUAUAGAAGGAUUGUUUUCAUACUAUUCGGGGUAGUACCCGAGGGGAUCUCUAAAAUAUACGAGUUCAUAGCUUGAUGGUUUUGUAAUUUUAAUGGAAGUCACAUAUGUCCAGAUAUUUUUAUCCUUAUUUAUAGCUUCCACCACAAGAGUAUACGACAAUAUGCUACCAUUUAUAUCAUUAAUCACAAGCUCCAGGCCGUUUAUCACACGAUGGAAAAUCAAAGUGUCUGAUUUUUCUUCGUUGUGUAUGUCCACUGCAAUCCCUCCAAUUUGUUGCACGUCCUUUCGCUGAUCGAUGUUUGGAAUGGGUGAUCCCUUAAUUACGAAACUCAUACUGCAACAAUCUACUUUUGAUGGACAGAUAGUUUUAGAAGAUGAUAUAUUAUGUAGUAAAGUUUAUGUGUUUUGUUCGUGAAU
This 13056-nucleotide long non-coding RNA is filed under the name Cucumis sativus (cucumber). Its description in RNAcentral is "long non-coding RNA (CSAT_LNC002467)". Lineage: Eukaryota; Viridiplantae; Streptophyta; Magnoliopsida; Cucurbitales; Cucurbitaceae. The record is from RNAcentral.